AUUGAACGCUGGCGGCAGGCCUAACACAUGCAAGUCGAACGAGUGGCGGACGGGUGAGUAAUGUCUUGGAAACUGCCCGAUGGAGGGGGAUAACUACUGGAAACGGUAGCUAAUACCGCAUACCAUCGGAUGUGCCCAGAUGGGAUUAGCUAGUAGGUGUGGUAACGGCUCACCUAGGCGACGAUCCCUAGCUGGUCUGAGAGGAGGACCAGCCACACUGGAACUGAGACACGGGCCAGACUCCUACGGGAGGCAGCAGUGGGGAAUAUUGCACAAUGGGCGCAAGACUGAUGCAGCCAUGCCGCGUGUAUGAAGAAGGCCUUCGGGUUGUAAAGUACUUUCAGCGAGGAGGCGGUACUCGCAGAAGAAGCAACGGCUAACUCCGUGCCAGCAGCCGCGGUAAUAC
Molecule: ribosomal RNA, 406 nt
Filed under: uncultured bacterium
Lineage: Bacteria
Description: partial 16S ribosomal RNA
Rfam family: Bacterial small subunit ribosomal RNA
Source: RNAcentral